UACGUAGGGUGCAAGCGUUGUCCGGAAUUAUUGGGCGUAAAGAGCUCGUAGGCGGUCUGUCACGUCGGCUGUGAAAUCCCGAGGCUCAACCUCGGGUCUGCAGUCGAUACGGGCAAACUAGAGUAUUGCAGGGGAGACUGGAAUUCCUGGUGUAGCGGUGAAAUGCGCAGAUAUCAGGAGGAACACCGGUGGCGUAGGCGGGUCUCUGGGCCAAAACUGACGCUGAGGAGCGAAAGCGUGGGGAGCGAACAGG
Molecule: ribosomal RNA, 253 nt
Filed under: uncultured bacterium
Lineage: Bacteria
Description: partial 16S ribosomal RNA
Rfam family: Bacterial small subunit ribosomal RNA
Source: RNAcentral